UACGGGGGGUGCGAGCGUUGUCCGGAAUUAUUGGGCGUAAAGGGCUCGUAGGCGGUCUGUUGCGUCGGGAGUGAAAACUUACAGCUUAACUGUGAGCGUGCUUCUGAUACGGGCAGACUUGAGGUAUUCAGGGGAGAACGGAAUUCCUGGUGUAGCGGUGAAAUGCGCAGAUAUCAGGAGGAACACCGGUGGCGAAGGCGGUUCUCUGGGAAUAUCCUGACGCUGAGGAGCGAAAGCUAGGGGAGCAAACGGG
RNAcentral lists this ribosomal RNA (253 nucleotides) under uncultured bacterium. RNAcentral describes it as "partial 16S ribosomal RNA". It matches the Rfam family "Bacterial small subunit ribosomal RNA", at positions 524 to 776 of the family's 1533-position model. The record is from RNAcentral.